Molecule: long non-coding RNA, 3477 nt
Filed under: Mus musculus (house mouse)
Lineage: Eukaryota; Metazoa; Chordata; Mammalia; Rodentia; Muridae
Description: long non-coding RNA chr15:39659547-39663024
Source: RNAcentral
UCCUCUUCUCCCCUGGGUGACACUUCGGACUUCCACCGUGAACAGCCGCUUCUCUUGACAGCUUUCCUCCUGACCCCUCCCCAGCAAAGCCAAGGUGCCAGCCACAGCCCGGGAGGCAGGGACGGGAACCCUAGGGUUCCGCGGAACCAGCCCGUCCCGGACCGCAGCGGUUUCCGCUAACCAGCCGCCAAAACGCCUCGUAUCUUGUACCGCGGGAAAAGCGGGUCCUCCACCAAGAUGGGCCGGCAGGGCCUAGGGGGCACGGGUGCUGCAGGGCGCUCCAUGCAGCGCUCUCAGAGCCGGAGCAGCCUCUCUGCCUCUUUUGAGGCUCUAGCUGGCUAUUUUCCUUGUAUGAACUCCCUGGAAGAAGAUGAAGGAGGUGAGGACCCUGUUCGUUCCCACCCUUCUUGGACUGUGUCUGUUAUAGAUCACUUGGGUUCCGUGGUGGUGGGAGGGUUGGCCUCAAGUGAGAACUCCAAAUAGCCCCCGCUGCUCGACCUGUGCCUGGGAAACCCGUAGAGUACCUGCCGAGAAUCACUGUUUGUGGGUUGUUCACGGAGCUCCACAGGCUCUCCUGGGAAAUAGUUGUUCUAGUGAGUGUUAAUUAUGGAGCACUUGGGAGCUGAAUGAGCAUGUAGACUGGGUGGGAGUCAAGCCGAGCCUCCUAUGUGUCCUCCUCCCGUUUUUCUUUUGUUUACGUCCUAAGUCUGCAGUCUUGGUGUCAGCAUAUAGUCUGAAGGACAGAAAUGCUGGGAAACUGGGGAGGACCGCUGCAGUAAAACUUUAUGUGUCCCAGCCUGUGACAGCCAAGAUCUGGAUGCGGAGUUUAGGGAGGCUGUGUGCUGGACAGGUCCAAGGCGGACACUAAAGGCGCAUUUGCACUGUGUUACUCGGAGUUUGUUCCCCAGCUGCGGAGUGCGAUUCUGGUUGUCUGUGCUGUUCAGUGGUGCCUGUGUAACUGGCUCUGUUAAACUUUUCACUGAGAGAUUUGCAGGCCUUCAUAAAGUUUUUAAUAACAGAUCCUGUUUUUCCUUGAUGAAAAACUCUUAUAAGAUUUUGCAGCCAACACUGAAAAUUUGUCAAUUAAUGAAAAUAAUGUAGAAAUAGUGUUCUUUGCAAACUGUGUCCUUCCUUAGGCCUAUACCUAACACUAUUGUAUACAAUUAAUUAAGAUUGCUUUUCUUUUAUUCUGUGACAAUGAUUUCUCACUAGAAAUUUGCCCUAACCCUAGUUUAUUAGAAAUUAAUUACCUGCUUUAAGAACAGGUGAAAAUAAAAACUUUACAUAUUUGCUCUGGAGGAGGGACAAAGUAGCCACAGGACAAUUCAGUUUUCAGACUGAAUCACUGUAGCUACCCCAAGUUUCUUCUGGCUCAUUGUUGCAAUAUUAAUUUCAUAUAAAUAAGACUCAUAAAUAGAGAUAUAACAAUAAGAUAACUCACUAUUUAGACAUAACUUUUGAUUUUCAUAUUUUGUUUUUCUGUUUUAUACAUUUACUUUUGCCUAUUUUCCUACAAAAAUUUAUUAAAAAUUCUAGGGAAUGUCUAAAAGUCAAACAGUUAAAAGUGGUCAAAGUGAGUAACUGGACAGCCAUAACUGUAGCUGGGUUUAGAAUUCCUUACUCGCAGGCACUGCUGAGGUCCUACAGUGUUUAGCCUUGAGGACCCAUAGCUUUUAUUAGCCCUGUUUCACAAACAAAGAUACUGAGGCAUAAAGACAUUCAAAAACUUUCUCAGCCAGCUGUCACUGUAGUCAGCACUCUAGAGUCUGGAGUCACAAACACUGCCAUCUACUCAGGGUUUACUCUACUAACCUAGUAAGUAUGGAAGCUACAAUUCAAAGUUAGGUGUGCCUGAAAAUACAUGUAGUUAAAUAAAACAUAGACUGUUGCAGGUUUACUUCUAAGCAUAUUUAGUACCAAGUCCUCAAACUUGAGUUUACUUCAUAUAAGCUAUCAUCAUUCGUAAGUGAUUGUUAGAAUUUAGGGGUUUACAAAAUACCACCCUAAAAGCAUUUUUGAGAUAGUAAGACAAGCUUCAACAAAAUGUGAAGAUUUUUCAAAAUUGAAAGUACACUCACUUAUCUGUGCCUCAUACUGGCAAAUCUAAAAAGGAAGUUUCUACAUAUACACAUGAGUAACUGGAACAGAUUUCUAUGUCAUAAUCUUGCUUCUUGAGUUGCUAAUACAAAAUGUUCCACAAGGAAGGUAGCAUUUUUAAAUGCCCCCUAUAUGCCUCUACUUUGUAACAAGGAAGCUCUCCACAGAUGAAUUCUUCCCUGGUCUGUCAUCAACUUGCAGCCAAGAGAAAUGGGCCUAAGCUUCCCUCUUUGGUUUCCUGGCUCUUCUUUUACCCUAUCAGCAUCUCCCACAGGUCUGUGAGGCUCAGAACCCCUGUCCAGAGCAGGGUUUCUCGGCAAUGUCUGUUCUUUUAAGCCUCCCGUGCAGACCACAUGAAGUUCGUGUAGGCAACAUGCUUGGAAGCAUUAUUAUAGUCAUAACUGUGAAACCUGUUCUCCCUCACAAGAAAGGGAAAUCAUUAUUCAAUGGAAAUGGUAGUCUGCUAAUCUCUGAUGGACCAAAUUAUCUGAUAGCUGUCACAGCUAGCAUUUUCCUUCCUCGUUAGGAUUAAAGAAGGGUCCCUGAGAGAGUGUGUAAAUGCUGACUGGGUAUCAGUAACACGAGUUUCUAAUCAUCUCAUACAAGAGCAUCCUGCACAUAUAUGAAAAUUGUUUGUCCAGACUCCUCCCCUAGUAAAGAAUAGAGUUUAGAUCUAAAUCCAUAAUGUGGGCCAGAGUUUAUACUGCUGUGUAAAGUGUUUUAAGUGCUAUUUCAUAACAGUUGUAUUAUAGCUCCUUGUAGGAAUCUAUGGUCUUGAAAACCAAGCACAAUAAUAAUAGUUGCCAUUAAUUGAGCAGCCUCUAUGUAUUCCUUUCUUUUAUUUCAUAGAAAUUCUUCAAGGGGAUUAUUUUUGUUGUUUUACUCUAGUGAAAAUAUAGAAGUUAAACACAUUGCUUACAGGUAACAAAACUCAAGUGUUACUGACUCGAGUCUGUGUUGACGGGAUGUUUCUGUAAACAACGUAAGUUAAUUCCCUAUAUAGUCUUGUCUUUGUCUUAUCUUUUCUGCAUACUUUGUGAGUUUGUUUUUUCCAUCCUUUCCCUUGGAUAUAUUCAAGAAAGAUGUUCUCCACAUCUACGGAGUUAUUUUAAAUAAAAGUGAUAGCACUACUACUUUUCCUGUUAUUUAACAAUUUAUAAAUUGCAUUCACUUAUUUAGCAUUGAUCUGUAUUUGAACACGUUAUAUUUUCAUUGUGUAAUAUAUUUGGUUCUAACACUGACUCUUUCUGAUACAGACCAUUAGUAUAUAUAGGAUAUUUGAAUAUUUCAGGCACUUACAAGAAUGUAGAGACUAUUUUAAGACAAUGUUUCCAUUUGUAAUUAUAGAAGCAACUCUUCAACUUUCCACCCAUUGGUUCC